Molecule: long non-coding RNA, 3505 nt
Organism: Populus euphratica (Euphrates poplar)
Lineage: Eukaryota; Viridiplantae; Streptophyta; Magnoliopsida; Malpighiales; Salicaceae
Exons: 4
Source: RefSeq, a predicted model, not a curated record
UAGAAAUAAUACAAAAGGCACCUCAUUAUUCAAUGCCUCGCAAAUAAACUAAAAAAAAUAAUCAAAACCAUUUCUCCACAACUAAAAAAAGGCUUGAACCAAAACUCAUUCUCGCCCCCAAACUUCCCUUCACGAUAAUUGACUCCAAAAAUGACCAAUUUGUCAAUAUAUACAAUAUCAUGGACCAAUUUUGUCCUAACAAAAUCCAGUAUAGCUAUUAAACUAAAACAGACCACCUGGUACUUGCCACUCAAAAUCAGGACCACUUUAGCUACCAAAAAUAUAUAUAUAUAAAAAAAUGAGGAGGCCAAGUCAUGGCCCAUGAAACUACUAUCCCCUUCUUCUGCAUCAAACCCCAGGUGGGCUAAAUCUCUCUUCUUUUUCACUUGUAAUCCAAAAGGGUCAGAACUCAUCUCAAUUUCUACUAACUUUUUCAAUGGAGGUCAAAAAAUUUAGUCUUUCAUAGAAAAAUGGUAGUGAAGGCACAUGUGAAGGUGGAGCAAAAGAAUGAAACUGAAGUAAAAGUGGGGUAAGGUAUCUGCUGUGCCUUUUGAUAUGGAUGGAGUGUUGUUCAAUAGUGAAGAGCCUUUCAGAAUGGCAGGUGUUGAUAUUUUUGCUGAGAUGGGAGUUGAAGUUACAGUGGAGGAUUUUGUGUCAUUCAUGGGCACGGGUAAUAUAUAUAUAUAUGUAUGGUUCUUCAGUUUGAGAUUUUGUGCUUUGAUACAGUGAUUAUUUCUUGUUAGAUAAUAAGUGAUUGGAUAUUUGGUUUCAAUUAGCGAGAAUUUCAAUGUUAGCAAUUCUUUUUUGUUUCUUGAAAAGAAUGCAAAUGAUUUGCCAUUUGAUAUUUAGAGGACUUGUUGUAUAAUGUUGUCAAUGGUUCUGUUUUUAUUUUCUGGAAUUUGGUGUUUGAGUGACAGAAAUUUGAUUGUUUGAGAUGGAAAUUUGAUGGGAAGUAGCUGUAGUUUUACUGCUGAGUUUAUUCAAUGUAUUAGUGAAGCAAACUACUUUGGCGUUGCAAAUGUAAAGGGUAUUAAGGGAUUCGGUCCUGAUCGAGGCGGAAAAGAAAAUGUUCUGUGAGAUAUGUCUAGAUAAGGUUUGAUUAGUGUGAAAGAUUAUAUAUCCAAGUUUGUAAUGCAGUGUGAAUUUGUGUUGUGAGGCCCAAAGUCCUUUCACACAUUGCAGCAUGCAAAACCGAAUCCUGGAAUUUGAUUUCCAGCUGCCCUUGAACUCAUCACUCUGGUAUGAAACUGCAAAAAUCCAGAAUUUGAAUAAUGAGAUUGUGUUGAGUCUACAUUAGCAUAGUGCCUCCUGUAUGACAGUGCAAAAACAAAGGCCUGAAAGUUGCUGUUGCAUCUAGUGCUGAUCGCGUAUCAAAGUGGAUGCUAAUUUAGCUGCUGCUGGCUUGCCAGUAUCAUUGUAAGCUUAACUAUUGUUUGUCCCAUUUGCCCAUUUCUCUAGCUCUUCGAAUAGUCGUACAAUUCCAUUUUCACAUUUAGCUGAUUGUCACUGAAAUGCUCAGUACUUUACCAUGGAAUAUGUAAUGCUGAAUAAUAAUUAAAUUUCAGAAUUGUAUAAUGUUGAGUGUGGAGACAAACUCACACAAUCCUAGCUUUGAUGGGAUGGAGACAAGGCUUGAAGAAAGGAGUUAAUAAAAGGGCUAAAAUCAUGGCUGCAAAUCAAGGGAGGAUUUGUGGUGAUUUUUUGGGAGAAAUCAUGGAUGAAAAUGGGAUGUGUUCCCCCAUUUUCAACUAUAAAUAGGCACCAUAUGUAUGAGCAAAGUGGAGCCAAUUGAGAGGAGAAACAGAGAGCUAGAGAGAGCUGCCUUGUAGUGGCAAGCUGAGUGAGAGAGAUGGGAGUGGAGUUGAGCAAGUGUCCAAACCAAGUUAAAAUAUUGUACUCAGCCUCUGGGCAAAGAUCGAAUCGAUCCUAACAUAUAAGUGGGUUUGAUGCUAUUGUGUCAACUGAUGAUUUUGAGAAUUUGAAACAAACUCCUGCAUUUUCUUGGCCGCAUCAAUUCCCUUGAAGUUUCCUUUCAAUUAACUUGAUUUGAAAACUUUAUUUGGUAUUUGCAGGGAGACUUACUGUAGCUGAUACGAACAGUCUAAUCAGGUAUCUAGACUUGAACAUGGAACAAGCUGAACUUCAAACUUUGGACCUGAAAGGAGUACAGCCUCCAGCAUCAAAAUCCGAAUCCUUGAAGCGUCUCAGGAAUCGAUCAUCAGCUGACACAGAGACAAUUGAAGUUGAUGGUGGUUCAUCCAUUGAGAGCAACCUGUGUCUCGAAAUAUCAUUACCUGAAGAGUACCGUUUCUCAUAGGUCUCCUAAGAUCCAGCCUAGUUAUUAUUGUUCCCUGCCAUGUUUCAUCCUUUAUUUUUUUCACUUUUGUUGCAUAUCAUAAUUGAUGUAGGUGGUUCCGAUCAGCAAGUUGUGGAUCCAUCAUAAUUGAGCUUGAUGGUUAGCCAUGUAGGGAUGUUUAUGGACCGAUGGGAUAGGUUUAAGUCUAAGAAAAAGCCUAGGUCAUGCAGGGUGAUCGACCUAACAAAAAAAGCCAUAACUUUCAAUCUAACAGUUGGAUUGUGCUUAAAUUUUACCAUGAGAAUUUACUAGCCCAAUUCCAUAAGGGAUCAGUUCAUUGUUACAAAUGAUCCUCAAAUUAGGCCUAGAAGGUGUUGUCCGGGCUAGUUUUGUUAUUUUUCCUCUGUAUUAUAGAUUUCUUAGUUUGUUCAGGAUUUUCAUUGCUUUUUUUUUCAUAUUAUUUAGUUUGUCUAGGUUAAUGUUUUUAGGUUUAUUUAAAGAGUUGUAAAACUAUUCAGCAAUAAAAUUUUGAAUUAGAAUUUUUAUGUGAUAACUCUAUUUAGUAAAAUUCUAUGUUGCUUGUACCUGUUUUUGUUCAUAUGUUGUUUCCAUCUAUCUCAACAAUCUUCUCCUUUGUGAACUCAACUGCAGGAAGCACGCAAUAAAUUCAGUGUUGAAACUGAACCCAAAAAUGCAGUGCUGAUCGAUCCCUCUUGAAGGUUAGUUAUUUAGGUUCAGAAGGAACUGCGAGCCUUGAUUUUAAAAGAUGCACUGCCUCUUCUUCAAUAGGAAGAAUAAAUUGCAGGGCUCACUAUUGUAAGCAAGAUGAGGUCUGCUUAUAUCAAUCACUUGCUAGAAGAAAUUUCAGACUCUACCGGUCUACCCCAUCAGAAAUCACACUUGCAUAUCUUGUGAAGCCCAAAUCUUCACCAAACAACUUGCAGCUACCAGUUACCAGCUGACAGCAUUCUCAUGCACAUGCAUUGUAAGAUUUUUUUGGUACAAUUUUGUGAUAUAUUUUCCAUGAAACAUGGAAGUUGAUUGGAUGGAGCAGCUUAUCUCAGUAAAUCAAAGAAAAUGACAUUUUCAUUGGAUUCGAAGAUGUCAAUGGAUUGUCACAUGUAAAUGUUUGACAUUUUGGAAGAGAGAACAUAGAUGUAGAGAACAGAUAUCAUCGCUCUUUUAUUGAGUUUCUUUUUCCAACCUUCA